GCUGGAGUGCAGUGGUGGGAUCUCAGCUCACUGGAACCUCCACCAUCCAGAUUCAACCGAUUCUCCUGCUUCAGCCUUCUGAGUAGCUGGGAUUACAAGUGCCUGCCAACCACGCCUGGCUAAUUUUUGUAUUUUUAGUAGAGACGGGGUUUCACUACGUUGUACAGGCUGGCCUCGAACUCCUGACCCCAAGUGAUCUGCCAGCCUCGGCCUCCCAAUGUGCUGGGAUUACAGGCGUGAGCCACCGCACCCUGCCAAUUGCUUGCUUUUCUUCUUCCAACUAUAGAUGAUGCCAAGAUGUAGGAGUUUGUACAGUGUACCUGGUGAUGGCCUGAGAAGACUGAGCAGCCAGCCCUGGCUUUGGGGAAGCGUUUGCCAGCUCACUUACUUACUCCUUAUGUUUGCUCUCCUUCCCUGCCUGACUUAGUCUUGCUUUACUGGGAUUAUGUUCACUACCACCCUCCAUCAGAAAAAAAAUAGCAUGCAUCCUUUUGCCUCUCAUUUUUUAUGGUAAUGGAGAACUAAUGAUUUUUCCCUCUUAAAGGCACUUGUGCCAGCAACAUCUCCAGUUUUUUUAGUAAAUACUGUUGAAGGCUUUAAGCCUUCAACUAUAGAUUUCUAAGCCUUUUAAACCAUUUG
This 639-nucleotide long non-coding RNA is filed under the name Homo sapiens (human). Its description in RNAcentral is "HSALNT0092982". The record is from RNAcentral. Lineage: Eukaryota; Metazoa; Chordata; Mammalia; Primates; Hominidae.